This 84-nucleotide transfer RNA is filed under the name Streptomyces zhihengii. RNAcentral describes it as "tRNA-Phe". It matches the Rfam family "tRNA". Rfam says of the family: Transfer RNA (tRNA) molecules are approximately 80 nucleotides in length. Their secondary structure includes four short double-helical elements and three loops (D, anti-codon, and T loops). Lineage: Bacteria; Bacillati; Actinomycetota; Actinomycetes; Kitasatosporales; Streptomycetaceae. The record is from RNAcentral.
GGAGAGGUGCCCGGAGCGGCUCAUCGGGGACCAGAAACAGGUCGGGCCUAAAAACCCACGCAGGUUCGAAUCCUGCCCUCUCCG